GGGGUUGUGGCUCAGUGGUAGAGCGCUUGCCUGGCACGAGCAAGGCCCUGGAUUUGAUCCUCAGCACCA
This 69-nucleotide transfer RNA is filed under the name Ictidomys tridecemlineatus (thirteen-lined ground squirrel). RNAcentral's name for it is "Spermophilus tridecemlineatus (thirteen-lined ground squirrel) tRNA". It matches the Rfam family "tRNA". Rfam says of the family: Transfer RNA (tRNA) molecules are approximately 80 nucleotides in length. Their secondary structure includes four short double-helical elements and three loops (D, anti-codon, and T loops). The record is from Rfam by way of RNAcentral. Lineage: Eukaryota; Metazoa; Chordata; Mammalia; Rodentia; Sciuridae. RNAcentral also lists the same sequence under 1 other name.